CUACGGGAUGCUGCAGUGAGGAAUAUUGCGCAAUGGGGGAAACCCUGACGCAGCGACGCCGCGUAGAUGAUGAAGGCCUUCGGGUCGUAAAAUCCUGUCAGAAGGAAAGAAGUGUAUGGUAGCUAAUAUCUGCCAUACUUGACGGUACCUUCAAAGGAAGCACCGGCUAACUCCGUGCCAGCAGCCGCGGUAAUACGGAGGGUGCAAGCGUUGUUCGGAAUUACUGGGCGUAAAGCGCGCGUAGGCGGUUUUAUAAGUCAGAUGUGAAAGUCCACGGCUCAACCAUGGAAGUGCAUUUGAAACUGUAAGACUUGAGUAUUGGAGGGGGUAGUGGAAUUCCCGGUGUAGAGGUGAAAUUCGUAGAUAUCGGGAGGAAUACCGGUGGCGAAGGCGACUAUCUGGCCAAAUACUGACGCUGAGGUGCGAAAGCGUGGGGAGCAAACAGGAUUAGAUACCCGCGUAGUC
RNAcentral lists this ribosomal RNA (465 nucleotides) under uncultured bacterium. RNAcentral's name for it is "partial 16S ribosomal RNA". It matches the Rfam family "Bacterial small subunit ribosomal RNA", at positions 339 to 795 of the family's 1533-position model. The record is from RNAcentral.